RNAcentral lists this small nuclear RNA (74 nucleotides) under Mustela putorius furo (domestic ferret). RNAcentral describes it as "U4 spliceosomal RNA". It matches the Rfam family "U4 spliceosomal RNA", at positions 1 to 77 of the family's 138-position model. From Rfam's summary of the family: U4 small nuclear RNA (U4 snRNA) is a component of the major U2-dependent spliceosome. The structure of U4 snRNA from yeast and human has been reported. Lineage: Eukaryota; Metazoa; Chordata; Mammalia; Carnivora; Mustelidae. The record is from Rfam by way of RNAcentral.
AGCUUUGCGCAGUGGCAGUAUCGUAGCCAAUGAGGUUUAUCCAAGGCCCGAUUAUUGCUAAUAGAAUUUUCCUA